Molecule: unclassified non-coding RNA, 386 nt
Filed under: uncultured fungus
Lineage: Eukaryota; Fungi
Description: partial contains 5.8S ribosomal RNA and internal transcribed spacer 2
Rfam family: 5.8S ribosomal RNA (bases 1-135)
Source: RNAcentral
UGGCUCUCGCAUCGAUGAAGAACGCAGCGAAAUGCGAUAAGUAAUGUGAAUUGCAGAAUUCAGUGAAUCAUCGAAUCUUUGAACGCACCUUGCGCUCCUUGGAUUCUUCUAAGGAGCAUGCCUGUUUGAGUGUCAUUAAAUUCUCAACUUUUCAUGGCCACAAGCUAUGCAAAAGUAUGGAUAUGGAGGUCUUUGCAGGCUUUUUCAGCCGGCUCCUCUGAAAUGCAUUAGUAGCGCCUCUGGUUGCUGUCUUUUGGCAUGGUAAUUAUCAUUGUCACAAGUCAAAACCAAGUAUAGUGGCAAUGCUGCUCCCAAAAAGUGUCUCUUCUCUAGAAGAACAUUCACGUGACAAAUUUGGCCUCAAAUCAGGUAGGACUACCCGCUGA